Molecule: ribosomal RNA, 254 nt
Filed under: uncultured bacterium
Lineage: Bacteria
Description: partial 16S ribosomal RNA
Rfam family: Bacterial small subunit ribosomal RNA
Source: RNAcentral
CACGUAGGCACCAAGCGUUGUCCGGAUUUAUUGGGCGUAAAGAGCUCGUAGGCGGUUCGGUUAGUCGGGUGUGAAAACUUUGGGCUCAACCCAAAGCGUGCACUCGAUACUGCCGUGACUAGAGUUCGGUAGGGGAGUGGGGAAUUCCUAGUGUAGCGGUGAAAUGCGCAGAUAUCAGGAGGAACACCGGUGGCGAAGGCGGGUCUCUGGGCCGAUACUGACGCUGAGGAGCGAAAGCGUGGGGAGCGAACAGG